GUUGUCUUUGUCAAUUAUUAUAUAGGUAAAAAGAUUAUAAGUAUACAAAAAAGUAUACUAACAAAAUCGGCAAAUACGCAAUUUGUGUGUUUUACAAAUAUAAUUCUGUUUCAGUAAGACCAACAUGAGUCAUAAAAAAUGUGCAGUAUUGCACUGUAAUGGUACAGGUAAACGAAUGUUUACCUUUCCAAAGCCUACCAAAAAUAAAAAUAAGUUUUUAAAAUGGUUAUUGGCAUGCGGAGAUGAAAAAUUAUUAAAAAUAGCAGAGAAAAAAUAGCCAGCAGAACUAUUUGUGAGAAUCAUUUUGAGGAAAGAUAUAAGUUUCCAAAGAAAUUAAGCAAUGAUGCUAUGCCUACUUUAUUAUUACCAGAACCAAUUAAUAUUAUACAACAUGAAAGGAUUGAUGUUAGGAGACAUUUGGAAGUCCUCUGGACGUCCUCUGGACGUCUUUCAGAUAUUUUUUAAGAUCUUUUGUUGUCUUAUCAUAAUCAAAUUUUCUUUUUAACAAUCUCUUAUGUACUAAUAUUACUUUAAUUUAAUUAGAAUAUGAAGAAACAAACCAAAUUGAAGAUAUAGUUCAUAAUAGCAAUCGUCAAGAAUGAUCAUCAGGUACAGCAAUAUAAUUUGUUGAACGUGAUAUAAAGUCGCCGAAUUUAUGUUCAAGUAAAAACAGAUUGAGAAAACAU
Molecule: long non-coding RNA, 686 nt
Filed under: Harpegnathos saltator (Jerdon's jumping ant)
Lineage: Eukaryota; Metazoa; Arthropoda; Insecta; Hymenoptera; Formicidae
Description: uncharacterized LOC109504612, transcript variant X1
Source: RNAcentral